This 1819-nucleotide ribosomal RNA is filed under the name Streptococcus suis. RNAcentral describes it as "partial 23S ribosomal RNA". It matches the Rfam family "Bacterial large subunit ribosomal RNA", at positions 1 to 1840 of the family's 2925-position model. Lineage: Bacteria; Bacillati; Bacillota; Bacilli; Lactobacillales; Streptococcaceae. The record is from RNAcentral.
AGGUUAAGUUAAUAAGGGCGCACGGUGGAUGCCUUGGCACUAGAAGCCGAUGAAGGACGUGACUAACGACGAAAUGCCUUGGGGAGCUGUAAGUAAGCAAUGAUCCAGGGAUGUCCGAAUGGGGGAACCCGGCAGGUAAUGCCUGUCACUCACUACUGUUAAGGUAGUGAAGAGGAAGACGCAGUGAACUGAAACAUCUAAGUAGCUGCAGGAAGAGAAAGCAAAAGCGAUUGCCUUAGUAGCGGCGAGCGAAACGGCAGGAGGGCAAACCGAGGAGUUUACUCCUCGGGGUUGUAGGACUGCAAUGUGGACUUAAAGAGUAUAGAAGAACUACCUGGGAAGGUAGGCCAAAGAGAGUAAUAGCCUCGUAUUUGAAAUAGUCUUUAUACCUAGCAGUAUCCUGAGUACGGCGAGACACGCGAAAUCUCGUCGGAAUCCGGGAGGACCAUCUCCCAACCCUAAAUACUCUCUAGUGACCGAUAGUGAACCAGUACCGUGAGGGAAAGGUGAAAAGUACCCCGGAAGGGGAGUGAAAUAGAACCUGAAACCGUGUGCCUACAACAAGUUCGAGCCCGUUAAUGGGUGAGAGCGUGCCUUUUGUAGAAUGAACCGGCGAGUUACGAUAUGAUGCGAGGUUAAGUUGAAGAGACGGAGCCGUAGGGAAACCGAGUCUUAAUAGGGCGAAUUAGUAUUAUGUCGUAGACCCGAAACCAUGUGACCUACCCAUGAGCAGGUUGAAGGUGCGGUAAGACGCACUGGAGGACCGAACCAGGGCACGUUGAAAAGUGCUUGGAUGACUUGUGGGUAGCGGAGAAAUUCCAAACGAACUUGGAGAUAGCUGGUUCUCUCCGAAAUAGCUUUAGGGCUAGCGUCGACAUUUGAGAAUCUUGGAGGUAGAGCACUGUUUGGAUGAGGGGGCCAUCUCGGUUUACUGAUUUCAGAUAAACUCCGAAUGCCAAUGAUUUAUGGUCGGCAGUCAGACUGCGAGUGCUAAGAUCCGUAGUCGAAAGGGAAACAGCCCAGACCACCAGCUAAGGUCCCAAAAUAAUUGUUAAGUGGAAAAGGAUGUGGGGUUGCACAGACAACUAGGAUGUUAGCUUAGAAGCAGCUAUUCAUUCAAAGAGUGCGUAAUAGCUCACUAGUCGAGUGACCCUGCGCCGAAAAUGUACCGGGGCUAAAACAAUUUACCGAAGCUGUGGAUAACACUUAGGUGUUAUGGUAGGAGAGCGUUCUAUGUGUGAAGAAGGUAUACCGUGAGGAGUGCUGGAACGCAUAGAAGUGAGAAUGCCGGUAUGAGUAGCGAAAGAUGGGUGAGAAUCCCAUCCACCGUAAGACUAAGGUUUCCAGGGGAAGGCUCGUCCGCCCUGGGUUAGUCGGGACCUAAGGAGAGACCGAAGGGUGUAUCCGAUGGACAACAGGUUGAUAUUCCUGUACUAGAGUAUGAAGUGAUGGAGGGACGCAGUAGGCUAACUAAAGCGGGCGAAUGGAAGUGCCCGUCUAAGCAGUGAGGUGUGAUAUGAGUCAAAUGCUUGUAUCUAUAACAUUGAGCUGUGAUGGGGAGCGAAGUUAAGUAGCGAAGUUAGUGACGUCACACUGCCGAGAAAAGCUUCUAGCGAUGUAUCAUACUCUACCCGUACCGCAAACCGACACAGGUAGUCGAGGCGAGUAGCCUCAGGUGAGCGAGAGAACUCUCGUUAAGGAACUCGGCAAAAUGACCCCGUAACUUCGGGAGAAGGGGUGCUGACUUAAGGUCAGCCGCAGUGAAUAGGCCCAAGCAACUGUUUAUCAAAAACACAGCUCUCUGCUAAAUCGUAAGAUG